AGAAAUGUAUAUUUUCGGGGACUCAUAAUCCCUUGGUCGAUGGUUCGAGUCCAGCCAGACCCACCA
RNAcentral lists this transfer RNA (66 nucleotides) under Nitrosomonas sp. Is79A3. RNAcentral's name for it is "tRNA-Ile2 (CAT) (tRNA-Ile2-CAT-2-1)". Lineage: Bacteria; Pseudomonadati; Pseudomonadota; Betaproteobacteria; Nitrosomonadales; Nitrosomonadaceae. The record is from RNAcentral.